RNAcentral lists this ribosomal RNA (550 nucleotides) under uncultured Alphaproteobacteria bacterium. RNAcentral's name for it is "bacterial SSU rRNA". It matches the Rfam family "Bacterial small subunit ribosomal RNA", at positions 1 to 606 of the family's 1533-position model. The record is from RNAcentral. Lineage: Bacteria; Pseudomonadati; Pseudomonadota; Alphaproteobacteria.
CGCGGGAAUUCGAUUAGAGUUUGAUCAUGGCUCAGAACGAACGCUGGCGGCAUGCCUAACACAUGCAAGUCGAACGAAGGCUUCGGCCUUAGUGGCGCACGGGUGCGUAACGCGUGGGAAUCUGCCCCUUGGUUCGGAAUAACAGUUAGAAAUGACUGCUAAUACCGGAUGACGACGAAAGUCCAAAGAUUUAUCGCCCAGGGAUGAGCCCGCGUAGGAUUAGCUAGUUGGUGGGGUAAAGGCUCACCAAGGCAACGAUCCUUAGCUGGUCUGAGAGGAUGAUCAGCCACACUGGGACUGAGACACGGCCCAGACUCCUACGGGAGGCAGCAGUAGGGAAUAUUGGACAAUGGGCGAAAGCCUGAUCCAGCAAUGCCGUGUGAGUGAUGAAGGCCUUAGGGUUGUAAAGCUCUUUUACCCGAGAUGAUAAUGACAGUAUCGGGAGAAUAAGCUCCGGCUAACUCCGUGCCAGCAGCCGCGGUAAUACGAAUCACUAGUGAAUUCGCGGCCGCCUGCAGGUCGACCAUAUGGGAGAGCUCCCAACGCGUUG